Molecule: ribosomal RNA, 497 nt
Filed under: uncultured bacterium
Lineage: Bacteria
Description: partial 16S ribosomal RNA
Rfam family: Bacterial small subunit ribosomal RNA
Source: RNAcentral
GAUGAACGCUGGCGGCGUGCCUAAUACAUGCAAGUCGAGCGAACGGACGAGAAGCUUGCUUUUCUGAUGUUAGCGGCGGACGGGUGAGUAACACGUGGAUAACCUACCUAUAAGACUGGGAUAACUUCGGGAAACCGGAGCUAAUACCGGAUAAUAUUUUGAACCGCAUGGUUCAAAAGUGAAAGACGGUCUUGAUGUCACUUAUAGAUGGAUCCGCGCUGCAUUAGCUAGUUGGUAAGGUAACGGCUUACCAAGGCAACGAUGCAUAGCCGACCUGAGAGGGUGAUCGGCCACACUGAAACUGAGACACGGUCCAGACUCCUACGGGAGGCAGCAGUAGGGAAUCUUCCGCAAUGGGCGAAAGCCUGACGGAGCAACGCCGCGUGAGUGAUGAAGGUCUUCGUAUCGUAAAACUCUGUUAUUAGGGAAGAACAUAUGUGUAAGUAACUGUGCACAUCUUGACGGUACCUAAUCAGAAAGCCACGGCUAACUACGUG